AGUGAGGAAUCUUCCACAAUGGACGAAAGUCUGAUGGAGCGACACCGCGUGAAGGAUGAAGGCCUAACGGUUGUAAACUUCUUUUCUGAAGGAGCAUAAUGAGAGUACUUCAGGAAUAAGGGACGGCUAAUUACGUGCCAGCAGCCGCGGUAAUACGUAAGUCCCGAGUGUUACCCGGAAUCAUUGGGUGUAAAGGGUUCGUAGGUGGAAAGAUAAGUUGGAUAUUAAAGACCGAGGCUCAACCUCGUGUUUGUGUUCAAAACUGUCUAUCUAGAAUUAGGGAGAGGUAAGCGGAAUUCUAAGUGUAGGAGUGCAAUCCGUAGAUACUUAGAGGAACACCAAAAGCGAAGGCAGCUUACUGGAACUAUAUUGACGCUGAUGAACGAAAGCGUGGGUAGCGAAAAGGAUUAGAUACCCUUGUAGUCCACGCCCUAAACGAUGAUAACUAAGUGUUGGGACUAGAUCUCAGUGCUGAAGCUAACGCAUUAAGUUAUCCACCUGAGGAGUACGGUCGCAAGAUUAAAACUCAAAGGAAUAGACGGGGACCCACACAAGCAGUGGAUCACGUGGUUUAAUUCGAUAAUAAACGGGGAACCUUACCCAGACUUGACAUCCUAGGAAUUCUUUAGAAAUAGAGGAGUGCUUUUAUUAGAACCUAGUGACAGGUGCUGCAUGGUUGUCGUCAGCUCGUGCCUUGAGGUGUUCGGUUAAGUCCGUUAACGAGCGCAACCCAUAUCUCUAGUUAUUAUGUCUAGAGAGACUGCCUUGGUUAACAAGGAGGAAGGUGUGGAUGACGUCAAAUCAGCAUGGCUUUUACGUCUGGGGCUACACACAUGAUACAAUGGUACAUACAAAGGGCAGCAACAGGGUAACCUAGAGCUAAUCCUAAAAGUGUAUCUUAGUCCGGAUUGGAGUCUGCAACUCGACUCCAUGAAGUUGGAAUUGCUAGUAAUCGUGAAUCAGAUAUGUCACGGUGAAUAUGU
This 983-nucleotide ribosomal RNA is filed under the name uncultured bacterium. RNAcentral's name for it is "bacterial SSU rRNA". It matches the Rfam family "Bacterial small subunit ribosomal RNA", at positions 353 to 1371 of the family's 1533-position model. The record is from RNAcentral.